Molecule: long non-coding RNA, 1399 nt
Filed under: Sus scrofa (pig)
Lineage: Eukaryota; Metazoa; Chordata; Mammalia; Artiodactyla; Suidae
Description: lncRNA (ENSSSCG00055020828.1)
Source: RNAcentral
GUAUCCGUUGUGAUUUCUCCUUUUUCAUUUAUAAUUUUGGUUAUUUGGGUUCUUUCUCUCCUCUUUUUAGUGAGUCUGGCCAGGGGUUUGUCAAUUUUGUUCACCUUUUCAAAGAACCAGCUCUUGGUUUUAUUAAUUUUCUCUAUUGUUUUUUGAGUCUCCAUUUUAUCUAUUUCCUCUUUGAUCUUUAUAAUUUCCUUCCUUCUGCUGACUUUAGGUCUUUUUUGUUCUUCUUUUUCUAAUUCAUUUAGGUGGAGGGUUAAGUUGUCAAUUUGGGAUCUUUCUUCUUUUUUGAGAAAGGCCUGUAUUGCUAUAAAUUUCCCUCUGAGCACUGCUUUCGCAGCAUCCCAUAGAUUUUGAGAGGUUGUGUCUUCAUUAUCAUUUGUUUCAAGGUAGUUUUUAAUUUCCUUCUUGAUUUCCUCAUUGACCCAUUGGUUUUUUAGUAGCAUGUUGUUUAGUCUCCAUGUAGUAGUUUUUUUCUCAUUUCUUUUACUGUGGUUGAUUUCUAGUUUCAUGUCAUUGUGAUCAGAGAAGAUACUUGACAUUAUUUCUAUCUAUACUCUUAAAUUUGUUGAGGUUAGUUUUGUGCCCCAUUAUUUGGUCAAUCCUUGAGAAUGUUCCAUGUGCACUUGAGAAGAAUGUAUAUUCUGAUUUUUUGGGGAGGAUGUAAUGUCCUAAAAAUGUCAACGAAGUGUAACUUUUCUAUUGUGUCCUUUAGGAUCUCUGUUGCCUUAUUGAUUUUUUUUCGUCUAGAGGAUCUGUCCAUUGAUGUGAGUCUCCUACCAUGAUUGUAUUCCCAUCAAUUUCUCCUUUUAUGUCUGUUAGUAUUUGUUGUAUGUAUCUGGGUGGUCCUAUAUUAGGGACAUAUAUAUUGAUGAUUAUAAUAUCCUCUUCUUGAAUGGAUCCUUUUAUCAUUAAAUAGUGUCCUUCUUUGCCUCUCUUUAUGGCCUUCAUUUUAAAAUCUAUUUUGUCUGAUAUAACAACUCCUCCUUUCCUGUCUUUUACAUUGGCAUGAAAUAUCUUUUCCCACCCCCUCGCUUUCAAUUUAUAUGUGUCCUUUGCCCUAAGGUGAGUCUCUUGUGGACAGCAUGUUGCAGAGUCUAGCUUUUUUAUCCAAUCUGCCACUCUGUGUCUUUUGAUUGGAGCAUUCAUUCCAUUGACAUUUGAGGUAAUUACUGAUAAACAUGUAUUUAAUGCCAUUUUAAACCUUGUUUUUCAGUUGACUCCAUGUUUCUCCUUUGUUCCUUUCUUUUUUUGGUUGGAUGAUUUCCUCUUAUUUUAUGCUUGUGUCAUUUUAUUUUUAGUUUUGCGAAUGCAAUGUUUGGUUUUGAUUUGUGGUUGCCCUGUUUUUCAAGUGUGUUAACCCUUUUCUAUAUCUGCUUGCUUUAGCCUGAUAGUU